This 68-nucleotide transfer RNA is filed under the name Marmota monax (woodchuck). RNAcentral describes it as "tRNA.Ala". The stretch from base 5 to 65 matches the Rfam family "tRNA", at positions 6 to 65 of the family's 71-position model. From Rfam's summary of the family: Transfer RNA (tRNA) molecules are approximately 80 nucleotides in length. Their secondary structure includes four short double-helical elements and three loops (D, anti-codon, and T loops). Lineage: Eukaryota; Metazoa; Chordata; Mammalia; Rodentia; Sciuridae. The record is from RNAcentral.
GGUCUGUAGCUUAGUGGGAGAGCACUUGCCUAGCAUGUAUGAGGCACUGGGUUCAAUCCUUAGCACCA